Molecule: ribosomal RNA, 484 nt
Filed under: uncultured bacterium
Lineage: Bacteria
Description: partial 16S ribosomal RNA
Rfam family: Bacterial small subunit ribosomal RNA
Source: RNAcentral
GACGAACGCUGGCGGCGUGCUUAACACAUGCAAGUCGAACGAUGAAGCCGGAGCUUGCUCUGGUGAAUUAGUGGCGAACGGGUGAGUAACACGUGAGUAACCUGCCCUUGACUCUGGGAUAACUGCUAGAAAUGGUAGCUAAUACCGGAUACGACCCUCGGAGGCAUCUCCAGGGGGUGGAAAGAAUUUCGGUCAAGGAUGGACUCGCGGCCUAUCAGCUUGUUGGUGAGGUAACGGCUCACCAAGGCGACGACGGGUAGCCGGCCUGAGAGGGUGACCGGCCACACUGGGACUGAGACACGGCCCAGACUCCUACGGGAGGCAGCAGUGGGGAAUAUUGCACAAUGGGCGCAAGCCUGAUGCAGCAACGCCGCGUGAGGGAUGAAGGCCUUCGGGUUGUAAACCUCUUUUAGCAGGGAAGAAGCGAAAGUGACGGUACCUGCAGAAAAAGCACCGGCUAACUACGUGCCAGCAGCCGCCGUAA